ACGUCUUGAUCGUGAUCUAAUUCCUUUUGCUCCAUCGGGAAAACGCAUCGCAAAGCCAAUAGUCACACACUGUUCUGGAUUUAUACUUAGCCCAGAUUUGGACAGCUUCUGUAGUUACUUACCCAGAAAGAAACACUCAUAACUUCUUGAAUAUAAUCUUGAUUCUAUCUCUGUCAGCGGCUAUGGAUUCUUGACAUUAUGAUUAUUGCAAUGACACCACAUGCCACACUUGAUUCUCUCUGAUUCAACGGGAAAUUAAUCCUGAAAACCUCUACCUGAAACUACAAUGUUUCUCAGAUACUUUAGAAAAAACUGCGCUCUGAAAACUGUGACUAUUCACCAAUUUUAAACGCGAUUUCCCGAUUGAUCUUACAUCUGAUUUUGGAUCGAAAAACUGUUCUGAAAACUUGGGAACGAGAUCUAUUCAGAACCGUUAAGAACUCGCCCAAACUCCUUCGGACGUGACGGGAAACGGAUCACCAAUUCCACCACUUGAAUUGUUUCCUUCUUUCACAUAUUCACACAAAAACUCAAAAGCUAACUUGAUAUAUCUAAUCAAGCCGUUGUUUAAUGGUGAUGAUUCGUGACAUUCGCUUUCACUCCACCCUUGUACGUGAUCAAAAACAAAACCAUACGCUCCAACAACUCCGAUCUCAACGUCAAUGGUGAUGGUGGCUUGGGAUCAAGUUGAUUUGAUGUUCUUAGGUAAGUAAUGAGUUGCUAGAGAUGAUGACGUGAGAAGGCUGCGGGAAGAUGACGAUAUAAGCAUAUAUACAUACACAUGUAACGAAACCUUAUUAUUUUGUGACUUGCUUCACUUGGGCUUCAAUGGGCUCCAUGGACGUUUGUUUUUAACAAAACAAAUAGGGUGGGUUCAAGGGAUUGGGUUUGGGGUGUUACAAAGUACCUCGUAUUUUUCCUUCUGCCUCAGGUUGUCUCACGAUACCUUCGACAGCUUGACCCGCAGUUGUACCUUGACUGACUCCAGGUUCAAUAGAAGCAAGCCCAACAGCCAACCC
Molecule: small RNA, 1019 nt
Filed under: Arabidopsis thaliana (thale cress)
Lineage: Eukaryota; Viridiplantae; Streptophyta; Magnoliopsida; Brassicales; Brassicaceae
Description: ATSL162130
Source: RNAcentral